This 659-nucleotide ribosomal RNA is filed under the name Escherichia coli. RNAcentral describes it as "bacterial SSU rRNA". It matches the Rfam family "Bacterial small subunit ribosomal RNA", at positions 50 to 700 of the family's 1533-position model. Lineage: Bacteria; Pseudomonadati; Pseudomonadota; Gammaproteobacteria; Enterobacterales; Enterobacteriaceae. The record is from RNAcentral.
UACACAUGCAGUCGACGGUAACAGGAARCAGCUUGCUGYUUCGCUGACGAGUGGCGGACGGGUGAGUAAUGUCUGGGAAACUGCCUGAUGGAGGGGGAUAACUACUGGAAACGGUAGCUAAUACCGCAUAACGUCGCAAGACCAAAGAGGGGGACCUUCRGGCCUCUUGCCAUCGGAUGUGCCCAGAUGGGAUUAGCUUGUUGGUGGGGUAACGGCUCACCWAGGCGACGAUCCCUAGCUGGUCUGAGAGGAUGACCAGCCACACUGGAACUGAGACACGGUCCAGACUCCUACGGGAGGCAGCAGUGGGGAAUAUUGCACAAUGGGCGCAAGCCUGAUGCAGCCAUGCCGCGUGUAUGAAGAAGGCCUUCGGGUUGUAAAGUACUUUCAGCGGGGAGGAAGGGAGUAAAGUUAAUACCUUUGCUCAUUGACGUUACCCGCAGAAGAAGCACCGGCUAACUCCGUGCCAGCAGCCGCGGUAAUACGGAGGGUGCAAGCGUUAAUCGGAAUUACUGGGCGUAAAGCGCACGCAGGCGGUUUGUUAAGUCAGAUGUGAAAUCCCCGGGCUCAACCUGGGAACUGCAUCUGAUACUGGCAAGCUUGAGUCUCGUAGAGGGGGGUAGAAUUCCAGGUGUAGCGGUGAAAUGCGUAGAGAUCUG